GAGGCGGAGUGCGAGAAGAGCCGGUUUCAGGGCGGGCUGAGGGAUAGGUGGUAGCUGUUGGUUGAAGGGGCUGCGGUUACAGGCCGGCCUCAUGUUCGCAGCUGUUCCGCUGGAGCAAUGGGGGCUGUGUCCCGCCUUCGGUAGUUAGCGCUGGCUGGGAGCCGGGGGGAAAGGAGGCCCGGGACUCUCUGGAGGGCAGCCGGACCGGGGGUGGGCAGGGGCGGCCUGGCCCGGUGUUUGCGCGGGUGUCCCGGCCCCCGCCGAGCCCGUGCGGCCUCCCCGACCCUCCGCUCUCGCAUCCGUCAGGGCGGGUCGGGACAGCCGGUCUGGUUUGGGGAGUGAAGUGAAUGUGCGAGGGUAGAAAGCCUUACUUGUUAAAACACGAAUUUACUCUCUCGUUCCCGCCGCCUGUUGGCAUGGUAAAUAGUUUACCCGGCUUGUGGCUGCAGGUGACUUGUACAAAGGUUCUACAAGGACAGUAGGGACGGUUCGUCUUUGAACCACGGUCACAAAAUCCCACUUCCAUGGGAGGAAGCAUUUAAAAGGCCUCUUGGAAGUAUUCAAGCAUUUCCAACUGUUCAAAGGACUUUUUAAAAUACUUCCCCAGAAAUGCUGAUAGUGCAAUUUGAAAAACCUGGUACAAAAGAUGCAAAUAAAAGCAAAGGAGCACCUUUGGUUCAGAACUAUGGUUGAAUUGUGAAAUUCAGUGCUACCAAAACAGUCUACAUUGAUGCAGCACUUUCAAAACUAGCAAAUCCUAAAUUUCUUCACGUGCUUUCUAGACAAAUUAUUUGAGGUUUCAUUUAAAUCCAAAAAAUUAAAAAAGAGGUUUGAGACACUUCAGACAAAAUGAAAUGGUUAUGGCAGUAAACCUGUUCUUUUUUGCUAUUCAAAUGUGUAUUUUUUUUUGUCUACACAAUAAUGUAGACACUAGUAGUGUCUACAUUGUAUAUCACACAAUAUAUAUCACAUAAUAAUGUGAGGCACACUAGUGUUAGAACUUCUGUGAUUUUUAAUAGCUCUACAAGUAUCAUUAUUCUGAUCUGUGCGCUGAUAGUCAUUACAAUCAGGCCCUUCUGUCAACAGGUCAGGAAGAGUACUAUAUGUAAAUGAGAAUUUAUUUUGCAUGAAUCAGUAGAGAAAGCAGUACUUGCUUCGGGGUCUGCUCUGAUUUAUGCAGGUGUUUCUCACUUUUUGUGAAUUACUGUGAAGUAUACUGUCAGACAUAAAAUGGUAUGGAAAUGGGACAAAUCAUAAAAGCAUAGCUUCUAAGCAAAACACUUUCAACUUCUUGGUUGCUAUGAAGUGUAAAAUACUUUCUAAAAAUUGGCAGUUGUUGCACAAUCAACGAAAGUACAUUAAAGUAUUAUUCCCAAUCAUACAUAUAUCUCAGUUAUGGUGACAGCACAUGAAGUCAUGUUGUUUUCCAAUAUUCACCCAUGGCCAUGUAUAUCAUGGCUCAAUAUAUGUUGAUACUCCAAAUGCUGUGUGCACUGACGACUGUGUAUUUACUUCUCUUUGAGCUAAACAUGAAUGAAUGCAUGCAUGCAUGCAUGAAUGAAUGCAAGUUUGGAUGAAAAGUAUGUAUUUUUAUGUGCAGUUUCUGGUGCUUCAAAUCACACAUUUGACAUUGUGACAUUUUUCUGAUAAUAAUUUGUGGACAGUUACAGAGGAAUAAUCUCUCCUCUUGUAUGCCUUUCAAGGCUGUUAUGAAACUGCAAUGGGAUGUUUUCUUUGGAAAGAAUAGUGCAUAAUUUACAAAAACAUCAGGCUGGCAUCCCGUCAGCUAGUGGGGUUCUGCAGGGCUCUAUCCUCUUCGACAUACUCAUUUACCUGGACACAGGAUUCGAAGGAAUUGUGUGUGCUGGCAACAUUAAACUGGGAGGAGCUGUUGACUCCUUUGAGGGCAGAGAGGCCCUGCAGAGAGAUCAUAACAAAUUAGAGAAAUGGACAAUCACCAACCAUGUGAAGUUUAACAAGGGCAAGUAACAGAUUCUGCCCUGGGAUGGGGCAACCCUGAAUGUAAGGACAGACUGGGGAUUGAGAGGCUGGAGAGCAGCACUGUGGAAAGUGAGCUGGAGGUCCUGGCUGAUGGCAAGUUGAACAUGGUCAGCAGUGCCCUGGCAGCCAGGAGGGCCACCCGUGUCCUGGGGGCAUCAGGCACAGCAUUGCCAGCCAGGCAAGGGAGGGGAUUGUCCUGCUCUGCUCUGCUCUUUUCUGCUCUCUGCACUGGGGCGGCCUCACCUUGAGUGCAGGGAGCAGUUCUGGGUGCCACAGUGCAAGAGAGACAUGAAGCUAUUGGUGAGCAUCCAAAGUAGGGCUAUGGAAAGGGUUAAGGGUCAGGAGGGAAAGCUAUAUAAGCAGAGGCUGAGGUCACUUGGUCUGUUCAGCGUGGAGAAGAGGAGACUGAGGAGAGACCUCAUUGGAGUCUGCAACUUCUACAUAAGAGGAAGAGGAGGGGCAGACAUUGAUCUCUUUAUUGUGACCAGUGACAGGACUCGAGAAAGAAGAGUUCAAGCUGCUUCUGUGACAGCUGUACUUGGAUUACUUGUGUUUCCAAAGUCUUGUAGUUGUAGCAAGAUAUUUGGAAUUCUUCUGUAAAGAGCUCAGCUCUUUGGGAGGAGAAGAAGGAUUUCCAAUGCAAUAGCUGAUUGGCAGAAGGGAACAGUGCCUCACGGGAGGAGGGACACUGACUGGAACCAGCAGCCUGUGCAUCUUGUGCGGUGUCAGCAAAGACCACGUGACCAACAGUGAGAAGCACAACGAGCAAUUCCCUGUGCGGAUCCUGGACAAGAUCAACCUUUCAGCAUUGCAAAACUCUAUAAAAACUGUUCCACUUGAUAGAACUUGAGAACAAAUGAACCAACGAACACUGAUUCUCUCCUGAAUCAGAGAAAAGGAUCUACUCAUAAACACGUGAGGAGAGCAACAUGGCAACUCUAAGGACGGUGCAAAGGAGGGAGGGGGAGGAAGAGAUGCUCUGGGCGUUGGAGCUGUGAUUCUUCUGGAAAUCAUGGUGAGGAUUAUAAUACAACAAACUGUUUCCCUGUAAUUCAUGAAGCGGAUGUGGGGAUGCAGAAUUCACCCACAGCCCAUGCAGAAAAGGUGCUCGCACUGGAAUGUGUGGAUGCUGAAAAACUCUGAUCUGGUGAGAGGCUUGAUCAGAGAGAGAAAGAACUCUUGCUUCCAGAGAUAGAAAAAAGAAGACCCUUGCUUUUAUACUAGAACCGCUCAUCCUUAAAGACCCCAUGAACUUAAUGACCCAUGAAAUAAAGCAGUUUUGGGAAGACUGUUUUUGCCUGUAGGAGGGACUCAUGUUUCAGCUGGUUGUCAGGCAGGACUGCUACUCAUGAAAAUUAGAACCAUGUUGGAAAUGUUCACAGAAAACUGUCUCCUGUGGGAAAGACCCCAUGGCAUAGCAAAGGAGACUUCUCUAUCCUCAGAACAAACUGACUAAAAAUCCUAUGUUUUGUCUCCCUGCUCUGUCAAUAGGAAAGAAAAAAGUGCUGGGGGUGGGGGGGGGGGAAGUUGGGAACAGGGCGAGGUGGGUAAAGGUUCUAAAGGUUUAUUUUAGUUCUCAUUAUCUUCUUUUAAUUCUGUUAAUAGAUUUUUCUUUAUAUCUUUUAAGUUUUGAGCCUUUUUUGUCCUUAAAGUGUUUCUUCCCGAUCCUUGCCUUAACUUAUGAAUCCCAUUAAAGUGUUUUCUUUCCCCCUCCUCUCUGUAAUUAUAGCAGAGGAGAAUGAGUGAUUUUUGUGGGGGCGCUGGAAUUCGGCCAGCAACCAACCCCCAACACACAUUCAUUUAACAGCUGACUUUUGAAAAAUCAAUUGUGUCUUACUUGCAUACUCUAAUUGCAGGCACUGAGCAAGCAGUGGGAAUGGACACAGAAAAUAGCUAUGGAAUUUUAGUUUCUGAUAGCUCUUCGUGCACACAUCUGUAAACUAAGCAUGGUUUGUAAUGGGAGAGAUCUAUUGCAAAAGGGGUCAUAUAAAAAAACUUAUUUUUUAAUAAAUAACUUGUCCCUCUGAAUUGCCCUCGGACAUACAUAAGAGGUAGUAAAUCAGAUCCUUAAAAGAAAAAGCAUUUUGGUAGAACUAAAAAAAACUACCCACUUACUAAUUUCAGAGGCUUUUUUCAGAAAGGGCAAAUAAUGGCUAUGAAAAAUGACAGAUUUCAGCAUGCAGAUUAGGCUGUCUCUGAAGAAGAAGAAACCAAAAUUGUCUGUUAAACUUAAUCUGCCUGCUCAGAUUUAAAGUCAGUUAGAAAAGGAGUCUAUUUAAUGUUAAAAAUGCAGUAAUUGCUCUCUCAGUAACAGUAACUCAGUGCAUGCUUUCAAGACAAAAAGUAUUAUUUCUUUAAAGCAUCACAGAUCUCUAGAUGAAAGGAUUUCAACAUUGACUCAAUUUUGUACUGGUUCUUUAUUAGGACAGAUUUGUUUUCAAAAAAUAAGUAUGGGAGAUAGCAAAGUACAUAGAUACUAAAUCACUAAAUUUAGUUGCUGGAGAGAAACAGAACACAGAAACCAAAUUAGUUGCUUUAUUGUGACCCCAAUUGGUUAUUUACAACAGUGUUUUAAUUAAAAUCCUUAAAAUGUUAAGUUAACAAUGGUUAGUUUGUUCAUGGUUGAUACAAGCAUCACUGGAAGCACAUCAAAAGUGGGGAAAAACUCUCCAUACCUUUUCUGGAAAAAAAACCUGUCUCUUUGAAGCAUUACAUAGAAGAAAGCAACACUGCAUUAUUAGCUCAAAAGUUUAAUAUUCUUCAGGAGUUUAUAUGCCAAAAUCCCUGUAGUUCAGGAGGAAGGAUUUUCUUAUUAGGGUCACAUCUUUUUGUCCCCCAUUUAAAAUAAAUUACAAAAUGCUUUUUCUCUAGUUUUGAAAGGUGCUGUUUACAUUAAAUUGCAGAAUUAGCUAAGGAUGUCCAUUAAACUCCAUUCCAACCCAUUGUCUUUAUUCACCAUGCAGCCUUUUAUGCCCAUUAUAAGAUAAUUUAGAAUGACACCAAAAAUGUUUUUAUAUGGUGAUAAACUUUAACAUGAUCUGAGUGAAUAGGUAAAGACAUCCAGUACUUCACAAAAGUGCUUGACAUUAAAGGUCAUGGCGCCAAUACUGAACUAUUGGUAAGCACGCUAAAGUGGAAUCACUAUUCCCUGUGAAAUACUGGAGUACAGCAAAUGUGCAGCAAGCUCUAGCCCAUUCUUGAAAAUUCAAAACUCAGAAUAACCUAGAAGCUGAAAAUGGUAAAUCAUCAUUUUAGUAAGCAGAGAUCUGAAGUGUUGGAGAGAAAACACGCAAGUCCAUGAUGAAAAAGAUUGGCCACUGACAAAGGGAAUGUUUUGCCAAAGUUGUUCUUGUUUCUCUCUUUCCAUCAGGAUGAAAUAGAUUAUACUGUCAGCAUUAAAGUGAAUAAAGAGUUAUGGAUAGAGAAUAUACUUACUAUAGAUCUAUUAAACUGGGUAGCCAAAUUAUUUCAAAUAUUAUAAGGCACCAUUAUUUCUGUGAGGUAUAGCUGUAGUGCAUACAGAGUGCUUUGCUCCAGCUUGUGUUCUCAUAGAAUAAAAAAACAUUUAGAAGUAUGUGUGUACUACUAAAAUACUGUGAAUCAAUCCAAAGCAAGUUUUCCCCUUAGAAAAUUCCAUCUCUCUUAUAGUAAAUGACUUAUGAAUUAAGGACUUACGAAUCUGUAAUAGAACACUGAAAUAUCUGUAAACUUCUCAAACCACUGAAAGUGUUGGAGUAGAGCUCAUAACCAGGUAUUACAAAUUGCUAAAUAGCUUUCUUUGUUAACCGUCAUGGCAUUUUUAACAGAAAUUAAGGUUUGAUUUUUUAUCUACUAGUGUAUUAUUAAUCUUAGAUUAUCAGCAUCUUGAAAGUACCAGUGUCAUCUAAAUAGUCAUAAGUGGACAGGAAAAGAUGAUAUAAUAAACUUUUAUUUUUGUUCUCAAAACACAUUUGCCUUGAAAGCCCUAAACUCUUUUCCCUUUUUUUAUGUUAGCUUUUGGUAGGUGUCUGGUUUUUAUGUUAGCUUUUGGUAGGUAGGUCUAGUUUCAUAAACAAGGUGCCACUUCUAUUAAGCUUAAUUAAAAAAAAAAAGUCACCAGAAACUAUAAGAUCCAAUUGGUGAUAAGAAACUUACUUAGAAACAUGGUACCAGACUGUUAAACAUCACUUAGAAAAAGUAUAGAGAAGUUUAUUAUUGAACUCAAAGGAGUUCAAUAUAUUUUUUAUAUAAACUAUGACUGUAACUCAAAAUCACUUAUUUUUUCAUGCUGUUUAACUUCCAUAACUGUAUAUGGAAGAAAAUCCAUAUUUAAAAUCAGUGAAAAUAGGAAUAAUAAUCCAAAAGUGAUACAGAACACAAAGUGCUGAAUUUUGAAUCAAGAAUACUAUUGGAAUUUCUAUUCCAAAGGGUAAUUUCAUUGUAAAACAUUCUUCUUUGAUUUGCAAUAUUCAUAAUAACAGAUUAAAGAUGCUGUAUACUUUCUGCUUUGUGCACAUGCUUUGAGAUGCACUUAACAUUUGAGUAAUAUUUAGAACCAAAUAACAUUCUUCCUAUUUUUGUGAGAGGACAGCAGAGAAAGGCUGAGAAAAUGCAGACAGGAAAAUAUAUAUUUGGUAUUUAAUUUAGAUGAAAAUGAAUGUGAAAAAUGCAACAAAAGUACUCCAUCCUCUUAGUAACUAUCUGGGAAAUGUUAAAAAGCAAUGCAGCUUCACUUAGAUGUCCUAUCCAAAAGAUAAGCUUGGUAAUGAUUCUGUCAAUCAUUUGCAAUGGAACAUAAAGUGAAGUAAAAAUGUUAGAAAUACACAGCCAUAGUGGCCCCUUCCUUAUCCACCCUAACACCUCAAAACCCUCAUCAAGGCAUUUAUCAUUUCAUGUCUCAUUUACUGUAACAACCUUUCCCUGACUAAUCCAUUUUUCAUUGUGUAUCUCUUCCCAGAAUGCUGUUGCUAAAUUCACUUCCACUUCAGUUUAACAGCACUAUGAGCUCUCCCUUCUCCAAUAUAUCCUGUAUAAAGUGGAGCCUAUAUAAUCUUACAUUUCACAUUGACGUAUGGGACAACAGUAUUGGUGAAUUUUAUAAAAAUUAAAAUUCCAUGAUUCCAUGAAACAGAUAGUACUGAAUUUGUGUUGCUUGAUCAAUUUUGAUGUCACAGUUGUGAUCUGCAUCAGCUCAGUCUGAUUUUUUGCUGUUGGUUCAUGUUUGCAAUCCAUACUUCGUACAUUUAGAGACUCUGAAUUUUGCCUUUUAAAACAUAGCAUUGAAAUAAUACAUAGCAAAACAAUUCCCAUUGCCUUUGAAGGUUGCAGAUGUCGGUAUGACGUCAUAAGGUAAAUAGUUUUAUCAGCUUUCUAAUGACUGACUGCUUUUAUAAACUUUUAUAAGUGACUGCUUUUAAAAAUUCCUAUCACAGAUAGUUAUCUUUAAAUAUGUCUGUUAAAAAUAUGUUUCCCAAGGUUGUAUGCCAUAGUUGAUACUUACUCUUGUUUUAAGACUUGAGCAAUGUUUAAUUUGAGCCUGAGUGAAAAAUUUUUUUCUUCUCUUUCUCUCUGUGUAUGUAAAUGUAUGUUUCUAUACACUGUAUUUAUAUUGGUUAAUUGUAUAUUGCCCAAUGUGCCAUAGACUGUCACUUGUGCUUUUAAAUUCUAGAGGUUGUUUAUGUUUGCAAGAAUUGGUGAACAAAUAAACAGAAUAUUUUUCACCCAGCUA
This is a long non-coding RNA of Motacilla alba alba, 7708 nucleotides long. RefSeq lists it as uncharacterized. The record is from RefSeq and is a predicted model, not a curated record. NCBI's taxonomy places the organism in Eukaryota, Metazoa, Chordata, Aves, Passeriformes, Motacillidae. The transcript is spliced from 4 exons.